CAGAGUUCAUGCCCUUCGGGGUAUACCUCCCACCCAUUGUUUAUUAUACCUUUGUUGCUUUGGCAGACCCGGCUUCGGCCCACCGGCUCCGGCUGGUCAGUGUCUGCCAGAGGACCUAAAACUCUGUUUGUUAAUAUUGUCUGAGUACUAUAUAAUAGUUA
RNAcentral lists this unclassified non-coding RNA (161 nucleotides) under uncultured Thelebolus. RNAcentral's name for it is "sequence contains ITS1". Lineage: Eukaryota; Fungi; Ascomycota; Leotiomycetes; Thelebolales; Thelebolaceae. The record is from RNAcentral.